This 352-nucleotide transfer-messenger RNA is filed under the name Verrucomicrobiia. RNAcentral's name for it is "VHCN01 sp016871675 Standard tmRNA". It matches the Rfam family "transfer-messenger RNA". Rfam says of the family: Bacterial tmRNA, also known as 10Sa RNA or SsrA, is named for its dual tRNA and mRNA-like properties. Its role is to liberate the mRNA from a stalled ribosome. RNAcentral also lists the same sequence under 1 other name. The record is from RNAcentral. Lineage: Bacteria; Pseudomonadati; Verrucomicrobiota.
GGGGGCGCACUGGUUUCGACUUGGAAGAUGCGCCAGAGGCGGCAUGCCGAGGACGAUGCGUUGGCCUCGUAAAUCACCGCAUCAAACAUCAAAAGCUAACGACGAGUUGGCCCUCGCGGCUUAAGCCCCGCGACGUUCACCGGUGGACGCCUGCUUAACCGGAUGAACGCCAUAGCAGGAUAGGUCGAUGGCGGAGACUGCGCGACAGCGACCGAAACACUUUCAUGCGGACUACGCUCUGGGAUUCGAGUCCGGUCGUGAUCCCAAAGCCGACAACCAACCCGGACUAAGCAUGUAGUCGCGGCUGGCAAUUCCUCCAAGGACGCGGGUUCAACUCCCGCCGCCUCCACCA